AGCCAGUUCCAACAUGGUGGUCUGCUGGUCGGGUCUCUCUCUGUUGAUGGUCUCCAGGUUCUCCUCCUGGUUCUGGGUGUUGUUGUUCUGCGGGGGGUUCGGGUUCGGGUCCGGCAGCAGCCAGGAGGACCCAGCUCCUCCUCCGGUGGUUCUGGUUCUGGGUCUGCGCCUGGAGGACCCGGUGGAUCUGGUGUUUAUGAAGGACCGGAUCAUCUCCGCGCCGGAAGGAGCCUCGUUCCGGAUCCGGCUGUUCGGUACCGAGCUGCUGAACGGGUCCGGGUCCGGGUCCGGGUCCGGGUCCUGGGUCGGGUUCGCUGCUGGAGGAGCCGCUGGGGGGGUCGGGGACACUCCGGAUCCCUGCGGGGUCCAGUCCAACCGGGACCGGUCCAGCUUCCAGGUCUCGGACCGGUUCACUCCGGAUGAGAGGUUCAGCGGGCUCAUCACGGUCCAGGUCCACAGGAGGACGGACCAGAACCAGAACCACCACCACCUGUGUGUUCUGAGCAGCGGGUCCUGGUCCACGGCGGGACCGGACCGGUUCCGGAUCAGCCCGGACCCGGGUCCUCCGCCGGACUACAUCCCGCCCUGGGGUCUGGGCGUGCUGGUGGUUCUGCUGCUUCUGGUCUCGGGUCUGCUGAGGACCGUGAACCUCAGUCUGCUGUGGCUGGACCCGGUGGAGCUCUACGUGCUGCACAGCCUCGGGUCCGAGGACGAGAAGAGGGCCGCCAAGCGCCUGGAGCCGGUCCGCAGGAGGGGCAACUUCCUGACAUGUUCUCUGCUGUUCCUGUGUGCGUUGGGACACUCGGUCCUCGGCGUCCUCCUGUACCGGGCGCUGGGCUCUAUCGUCUCCGCCGUGUUCACCAGCGCCUUCCUCAUCUUCUUCCUGGCUGAGCUGGCUCCCCACAUCCUGUGCUCUGGUUACGGGUUCCAGCUGGCGCCGGGUCUGACCUGGCUGGCCCAGGUUUGUCUGGUGCUCACCUGUCCCCUGUCCUGUCCUCUGGGGCUGAUCCUGGACCUGGCCCUGAGGAGGGACAUCAGUACAUGUGGGAUCAGGGAGAGGGCCAUGGAGAUGAUCCGAACCAGCGUCAAUGACCCGUACAGUGAGUUUGUGAAGGAGGAGUUCAGCCGCGGGAUGCUGCGCAGUAAGACGGUGGAGGACAUCCUGACCCCCCUGAAGGACUGCUUCAUGCUGGCCAGCUCGGCCGUCCUGGACUUCUCCACCAUGUCUGAGAUCAUGCAGAGCGGAUACACCCGGGUGCCCAUCUACGAGGAGGAGAAGUCCAACAUCGUGGAAAUCCUUUAUGUAAAAGAUUUGGCUCUGGUGGACCCGGACGACUCCACCCCCAUGACGACCAUCACCAAGUUCUACAAUCACCCGCUGCACUACGUCUUCAACGACACCAAGCUGGACGCCAUGCUGGAGGAGUUCAAGAAAGGUAACUCUCACAUGGCCAUCGUCCAGAAGGUGAACAACGAGGGCGAGGGGGAUCCGUUCUACGAGGUGCUGGGAUUGGUCACUUUAGAGGACGUCAUCGAGGAGAUCAUCAAAUCAGAGAUCCUCGAUGAAUCUGACGGCUACUUGGACAGGAAGGUGAAGCGUCCUCUCGCUCCGCUAGAGAUUCCUCUGGAGCCUCGCAGCGUCCACGAGGAGUUUUCUCUCUUCAAGCCUCCUGAAGGAGAACCCAAGAUCAGGACCUCGCCUCAACUCCUGCUGGCUACGCACCGCUUCCUGUCCAGAGAGGUGUCGCACUUCAGCCCCGGACGCGUCUCUGAGAAGGUCUUGUUCCACCUGCUCCGUCACCCCAGUGUCAACCAGGAAGUGCAUUUUGACCCAAACAACCGGCUGAGCCCGGAUCACUAUCUCUACACGCGCAACCACCCGGUGGACUACUUCAUCCUGCUGCUGCAGGGUCGAGUGGAGGUGGAGAUCGGUAAAGAGGGGCUGAAGUUUGAGAACGGAGCGUUUACGUACUACGGCGUGUCGGCGCUAACGCUGCCAUCCUCAGUGCACCAGUCUCCGGUGUCGACCCAGCGUCACUCUCCCAGGGAUCCCUUUGAGUCCGCCGACGCUACGAGCCCGUCCAGCUACUGUCCCGACUACACCGUCCGAGCUCUCACCGACCUGCAGCUCAUACGGGUGACACGUCUCCAGUAUCUGAACGCUCUCAUGGCGUCGCGGGUCGGUCAGAGUCCAGAUCCUCCUGAGAUUAAGAUCCUUCCCAACAGUCAGACCAAGCUGCUCAACGAGAGAAACACAACACAACAAGAGUUCCCUGUGAACUUUUCAUUCUUUGAUACCAUUGAGAACUACUGUUAGUACCUUUUUUGCAUGAGUUUCUGCUUCUCCCUGAAAUCAUCUCACUUCUCUCUGUUGGGUGGCAGCAGUAGCGCCCAGGAGAGCUCCACAGAAGAGGAGGCUCAUGGGUAAUGCGGCUCUGACCUUGCUGCAAAAACAAGUAGAGAUUUUUUUUGUUUUGUUUUGUUUUUAUUGCUGAAUCAUCAUCUAUGGCUGGAACGUAGUUAUUGGACACGACUGGAGUGAUUUUAUGUGUUCUGUAGAUCCACUACUCACACGUCUCAUCUCCAUCCCCCAUUCCUUUUGUUGUGAUUAUUAUUAUUAUUAUUAUUUCAUGCUGUUUUAUACACUUUGGACUAUAUGUGUAUAUAUACAUAAAUACAUUUUAUUUUAAUUUGGCGGUGCCUUUUCUUCCAGGUUCGUACUAAACUCGAUGCAUUGCCAUGAUUCCUCUCUGUCUGGGUGCCAAAGCUACGUGUGUGUGUGUGUUGUCUGUGUGUGUGUGUGUACUGACGCAUCCGUCCGUUUGAGACACUAAAAUAGUCGGUUAAAAGCAGAUUUGCUAUUUUAAAAGGCUGUAAGGUUUUUAUACCCUCACAUAACAUUUGAUCAGCUUUCAGCGGUUAGUUGAUAGUUUAAAUAUUUAGUUAGAAAGUGAGCGGUAAAGUGAGGACUUCCAAAGUGGCCCUGGAUAUAACCAAAGUCAAAUAUGAAAUAAUAACAAAGAGUGAUAGUUUUUUAUUGUUGCAGAAGUUCAACAGAAGCUUCAAAAGGCCUCAAUGUGACGCUAAGAGCGGUUGGAAGUAAAAACACUUAGUCGAUUGUCAGGAAAAAUAACUAUUUUGCUAAUCAAUGAAUCGUCUUAGUCGUGAAGAUUUGCUGCUUUUAUUUGUCUUAUAUGAUGAUAAACUAAAUGUCUUUGGGGCUGUUUCUAAAACGAGACAUUUUAACAUGUUAAUUUGGGCAAGUUAGGAUUUCACUAUUUUAUAGACAAAAGUAUUUAUCAAGAAAAUAAUCAGCAGAUUCAUUGACAAUAAAACCAUCAGUAUUUCUUAAAGUAUCAGUUUGGUAUCGGUACCAAAACUUGUGUAUUAUAUCAGCGCUAGUAUUGAAACGUUUUAAAUGAUACCCAGCCCUACUGGUUAAUCCAUCGGCAGAAUAUUAAACAAUAAUAAUCAAUUAAUCCUUUAAAUCAUUCUUCAACAUUCACAGACUCUCAACUGUUGCUGCUUUACGUUGUAAUCUGAAUAUCUUUGAGACAGAUGAAGAUAUUGUGAUGGGUGUUUUUCACCAUAUUCUACCUUUUAUAAAUUAACGGUUAAUCAGUUAAUAAAAAAAAUAACAAUUUGGAGAUUAAUAGUUAAAUAAUUGUCACUUACAGCACUAUACUAUACUCUUACUGGAGAUAUUCUACGAUUUAGAUUUUCCUCAAUAAAUCCGUACAAAAAAACUAAAACAACAAUGUGUAAGUUUGUCUCUCAAAACUUUCUGAUUUCCCGUCUUUGACUCUUUAUUUGGGGUAAAUCAACAGAUAAUUAAAAUAGA
Sebastes umbrosus (honeycomb rockfish) is the source of this 3841-nucleotide RNA transcript. It is a transcript of the gene named metal transporter CNNM3, with no coding region annotated. The transcript is spliced from 13 exons. The record is from RefSeq and is a predicted model, not a curated record. NCBI's taxonomy places the organism in Eukaryota, Metazoa, Chordata, Actinopteri, Perciformes, Sebastidae.